UGUCUCUGACAGAUGCU
RNAcentral lists this unclassified non-coding RNA (17 nucleotides) under Mus musculus (house mouse). Its description in RNAcentral is "oocyte_clustered_small_RNA12718". Lineage: Eukaryota; Metazoa; Chordata; Mammalia; Rodentia; Muridae. The record is from RNAcentral.